GGUUGAGGUGAUAUUUGAACUCAGGUCCUCCUGACUCCUGAACUGGUGCUCUAUCCACUGCACUACCUAGCUGCCCCUCAAAGAGGAUGAUCUUCCCCGAUAGAGACAUCCUGUUUUUCAGUCAAGGUUAUAUUAGUAGCUACACUUCUUUGCUAGAGUAAGGUCUCAGUUAUAACAGGGAAAAAUAAAGAAGAAAUGAGGACAAGUUUAAGGAUAAGGUGAAUUCUGGGAGUUC
This 235-nucleotide small RNA is filed under the name Notamacropus eugenii (tammar wallaby). Its description in RNAcentral is "7SK RNA (ENSMEUG00000017897.1)". The record is from RNAcentral. Lineage: Eukaryota; Metazoa; Chordata; Mammalia; Diprotodontia; Macropodidae.